CGGGCGUUUUCGUUCGCGAAAAAUGAAGACGUGGCAGUGGAUGCCUUCUUGACGAUGACUGCCCUCUCCGAUGAGUUCCAUUUGCCGUUGUCACCGCAAGCCAGACUAGAAGUCCAGGAGCUCCAGAUGUUGACUGCCGGCACUAUUCCCAUGAGAGAACAAAAGGAUGUUUGGAGCUGCUCUUGGGGCACUGACUAUUCCUCGAAAAAAUUCUAUGAAUUCUACUUCAAAGAUGUGGUGGCUGAUGAGGCCUUCCGCUGGAUUUGGAAAUCCAAGUGCACAAUGAAGCUGAAGAUGUUUGCGUGGCUCUUGGCUGCGGACAUAGUAAAUACAAAAAAUAUGAUUAAAAGGAGACAUUGGAACGUGGGCGAUGGAGUUAAUUGUGUCCUAUGCAAUCUAGGACUUGAGGAAACGGUGGAA
RNAcentral lists this ribosomal RNA (420 nucleotides) under Triticum aestivum (bread wheat). RNAcentral's name for it is "partial small subunit ribosomal RNA". The record is from RNAcentral. Lineage: Eukaryota; Viridiplantae; Streptophyta; Magnoliopsida; Poales; Poaceae.